UACGGAAGGGGCGAGCGUUGUUCGGAAUCAUUGGGCGUAAAAGGGCGCGUAGGUGGUUUUGUAUGUCUACCGUGAAAGCGUACGGCUCAACCGUAUUUUGUCGGUAGAAACUGCAGGACUUGAGGCUGGGAGGGGCUGGCGGAAUUCCCUGUGUAGCGGUGAAAUGCGUAGAGAUGGGGGAGAACACUCGUGGCGAAGGCGGCCAGCUAGACCAGUUCUGACACUGAGGCGCGAUAGCGUGGGGAGCAAACAGG
RNAcentral lists this ribosomal RNA (254 nucleotides) under uncultured bacterium. RNAcentral describes it as "partial 16S ribosomal RNA". It matches the Rfam family "Bacterial small subunit ribosomal RNA", at positions 524 to 776 of the family's 1533-position model. The record is from RNAcentral.